This 382-nucleotide ribosomal RNA is filed under the name uncultured eukaryote. RNAcentral's name for it is "partial 18S ribosomal RNA". It matches the Rfam family "Eukaryotic small subunit ribosomal RNA", at positions 592 to 976 of the family's 1831-position model. The record is from RNAcentral.
UGUAAGCGUAUACCAAAGUUGUUGCAGUUAAAACGCUCGUAGUCGGAAUUUGGCAGUUCCGGAUGUGUGCACGUCGUGUGCGCACUUCGCGGUGAUUGCUUUUGUGGUCUUGCGUAGGAUGAGGCACUUUUAUUAGUGAACGUCCUCACGCAACCACUUUUUACUGUGAGAAAAUCAGAGUGCUCAAAGCAGGCAUUUGCCGUGAAUGUAUUAGCAUGGAAUAAUAGAAUAGGACUUGGUUCUAUUUUGUUGGUUUGUUGGGACUGAGUAAUGAUUAAGAGGGACAGUUGGGGGCAUUUGUAUUUCGGUGCUAGAGGUGAAAUUCUUAGAUUACCGAAAGACAAACUGCUGCGAAAGCGUCUGCCAAGGAUGUUUUCAUUGA